ACAUAUUAUGUAUGCAAAUAUAAACCUAAAAACAUAAUUCUGUAUGCAAGAUCACAUCUAAACAUACAACCAUAGAUCAUAUCUACACUAUAUAUCAUAUGUAUAUCAAGUAUGAGUUCAGAACUUGAUACCUUAGCAUGGAUAGCAUAUCUCUACAUCUGAAAAUCAUGAUCUUGCUGGUUGCUCACAGUCGCAUAGGAUGUCCGACCUCUAUAGGUGAUCCACUCGAAGCAUCGCAUUGAUCAGCUUCUGUGAGAGUGCUAGCUUGCAUAGAAACUUAUAGAUGGCUGAUCUUCUCCUCUUAUGGAUCUCUUGGACUCCUCCAAAAUUGUAGUAAGAAUAAGAAGGAACUGGUGAUGGAAUGAUGGAUGGAGAACUCUCUUCUCUUUCGACCUUUUCCUCAUCCAAAAAUCUUAGAACAGAUUUCUAGGAUGCUCACC
This 440-nucleotide long non-coding RNA is filed under the name Elaeis guineensis (African oil palm). RNAcentral's name for it is "long non-coding RNA (EGUI_LNC055995)". Lineage: Eukaryota; Viridiplantae; Streptophyta; Magnoliopsida; Arecales; Arecaceae. The record is from RNAcentral.